UACAGAGGGUGCAAGCGUUAAUCGGAAUUACUGGGCGUAAAGAGCGCGUAGGCGGUCCGGUAAGUCCGCUCUGAAAGUCCGGGGCUCAACCCCGGGAGGCGGGCGGAUACUGUCGGGCUAGAGUCCGGAAGAGGCGAGUGGAAUUCCUGGUGUAGCGGUGAAAUGCGCAGAUAUCGGGAGGAACACCAAUUGCGAAGGCAGCUCGCUGGGACGUUACUGACGCUGAGACGCGAAAGCGUGGGGAGCAAACAGG
RNAcentral lists this ribosomal RNA (253 nucleotides) under uncultured bacterium. Its description in RNAcentral is "partial 16S ribosomal RNA". It matches the Rfam family "Bacterial small subunit ribosomal RNA", at positions 524 to 776 of the family's 1533-position model. The record is from RNAcentral.